RNAcentral lists this transfer RNA (74 nucleotides) under Catellicoccus marimammalium. Its description in RNAcentral is "tRNA-Arg(cct)". It matches the Rfam family "tRNA". Rfam says of the family: Transfer RNA (tRNA) molecules are approximately 80 nucleotides in length. RNAcentral also lists the same sequence under 1 other name. The record is from RNAcentral. Lineage: Bacteria; Bacillati; Bacillota; Bacilli; Lactobacillales; Enterococcaceae.
GUCCUCGUAGCUCAGCUGGAUAGAGCAUCGCCCUCCUAAGGCGAGUGUCGCACGUUCAAAUCGUGUCGGGGACG